CUUGCACUGGUCAAUCUAGUGGCGAACGGGUGAGUAACACGUGGGUAACCUGCCCAUCAGAGGGGGAUAACAUCCGGAAACGGAUGCUAAAACCGCAUAGGUCUUCGAGCCGCAUGGCUUGAAGAGGAAAAGAGGCGCAAGCUUCUGCUGAUGGAUGGACCCGCGGUGCAUUAGCUAGUUGGUGAGGUAACGGCUCACCAAGGCCGUGAUGCAUAGCCGACCUGAGAGGGUGAUCGGCCACAUUGGGACUGAGACACGGCCCAAACUCCUACGGGAGGCAGCAGUAGGGAAUCUUCCGCAAUGGACGCAAGUCUGACGGAGCAACGCCGCGUGAGUGAAGAAGGUUUUCGGAUCGUAAAACUCUGUUGUUAGAGAAGAACAAGUGCUAGAGUAACUGUUAGCGCCUUGACGGUAUCUAACCAGAAAGCCACGGCUAACUACGUGCCAGCAGCCGCGGUAAUACGUAGGUGGCAAGCGUUGUCCGGAUUUAUUGGGCGUAAAGCGAGCGCAGGCGGUUCCUUAAGUCUGAUGUGAAAGCCCCCGGCUCAACCGGGGAGGGUCAUUGGAAACUGGGGAACUUGAGUGCAGAAGAGGAGAGUGGAAUUCCAUGUGUAGCGGUGAAAUGCGUAGAUAUAUGGAGGAGCACCAGUGGCGAAGGCGACUCUCUGGUCUGUAACUGACGCUGAGGC
This 689-nucleotide ribosomal RNA is filed under the name uncultured Granulicatella sp. RNAcentral's name for it is "bacterial SSU rRNA". It matches the Rfam family "Bacterial small subunit ribosomal RNA", at positions 79 to 752 of the family's 1533-position model. The record is from RNAcentral. Lineage: Bacteria; Bacillati; Bacillota; Bacilli; Lactobacillales; Carnobacteriaceae.